Helianthus annuus (common sunflower) is the source of this 436-nucleotide long non-coding RNA. RefSeq lists it as uncharacterized. The record is from RefSeq and is a predicted model, not a curated record. The transcript has 3 exons. Lineage: Eukaryota; Viridiplantae; Streptophyta; Magnoliopsida; Asterales; Asteraceae.
AUGUGAUUAAAGUUAACUAAAGAAAAGUAACAAAGUUAGUGUGAAAAAUCACUAAUAUGAACAUACCAUAAAAGUUAGGGGCUAAAUGUGUAAAUGUAGAAUAAAAUUAGAUAAAAAAAAAAAAAAGAAAGCCAGUUUGGUCUGGCAGUGUGUUCGAUCGAGAGAGAGGAGGGAGCCAAGGGAGUCAAAACCCUAACAUCACAAAUCUCUCAAAUUGAAAGGGAAAAACUGAAGGUUUAUCAAUGCAUGAGUUAGGAAUGUUCAUCCCUAAGUGAAAUUAACAUCAAGCACAAAGAAGGAAGAAGGCGCAAGUCACUCGAAGGCACAAGCAUCUCAAGAUCGCGGUAAAUCCCUUGCUUGAUUGCGGCGCACCCGGACCGAACACACACACGUAAUGUCGACCUUAUGCGCUUCCGGUCCAAGUUGUUUGUUUUGA